Molecule: unclassified non-coding RNA, 390 nt
Filed under: soil metagenome
Description: partial contains 5.8S ribosomal RNA, internal transcribed spacer 2, and large subunit ribosomal RNA
Rfam family: 5.8S ribosomal RNA (bases 1-122)
Source: RNAcentral
GAUGAAGAACGUAGUGAAAUGCGAUACUUGGUGUGAAUUGCAGAAUCCCGUGAACCAUCGAGUCUUUGAACGCAAGUUGCGCCCGAAGCCAUUAGGCCGAGGGCACGCCUGCCUGGGCGUCACACGUCGUUGCCCCCCCAUCUACUCCUUCGGGAUUGCGGGGGGCGGAUGAUGGCCUCUCGUGCGCCUCGUCGCGCGGUUGGCCUAAAUGCCAAGUCCUCGGCGACGCACGCCACGACAAUCGGUGGUUGCGAAACCUCGGUUGCCUGUCGUGUGCGGUCGUCGCGCAUCGAGGGCUCGAAAAAAUUGCCGGGCUUCGGCUCGACUUUCAACGCGACCCCAGGUCAGGCGGGGUUACCCGCUGAAUUUAAGCAUAUCAAUAGCGGAGGA